This 253-nucleotide ribosomal RNA is filed under the name uncultured bacterium. Its description in RNAcentral is "partial 16S ribosomal RNA". It matches the Rfam family "Bacterial small subunit ribosomal RNA", at positions 524 to 776 of the family's 1533-position model. The record is from RNAcentral.
UACGAAGGGGGCUAGCGUUGUUCGGAUUUACUGGGCGUAAAGCGCACGUAGGCGGAUCGUUAAGUCGGGGGUGAAAUCCUGGAGCUCAACUCCAGAACUGCCUUCGAUACUGAGGAUCUUGAGUUCGGGAGAGGUGAGUGGAACUGCGAGUGUAGAGGUGAAAUUCGUAGAUAUUCGCAAGAACACCAGUGGCGAAGGCGGCUCACUGGCCCGAUACUGACGCUGAGGCACGAAAGCGUGGGGAGCAAACAGG